ACUGUGCCUAUGAUGAAUGUUGAACCUGUGUCAGAAUUUGAACCACUGGGCAUGUAAAUCUCACUAGGUUUUUUCUGAGGCAUGUU
This 86-nucleotide small nucleolar RNA is filed under the name Oryza glaberrima (African rice). RNAcentral's name for it is "snoRNA snoZ182". It matches the Rfam family "Small nucleolar RNA Z182". From Rfam's summary of the family: Z182 is a member of the C/D class of snoRNA which contain the C (UGAUGA) and D (CUGA) box motifs. Most of the members of the box C/D family function in directing site-specific 2'-O-methylation of substrate RNAs. The record is from RNAcentral. Lineage: Eukaryota; Viridiplantae; Streptophyta; Magnoliopsida; Poales; Poaceae.